RNAcentral lists this transfer RNA (74 nucleotides) under Blastocatellia bacterium. Its description in RNAcentral is "tRNA-Pro". It matches the Rfam family "tRNA". From Rfam's summary of the family: Transfer RNA (tRNA) molecules are approximately 80 nucleotides in length. Their secondary structure includes four short double-helical elements and three loops (D, anti-codon, and T loops). The record is from RNAcentral. Lineage: Bacteria; Pseudomonadati; Acidobacteriota; Blastocatellia.
CGGGGCGUGGCGCAGCCUGGUAGCGCGCUUGCUUGGGGUGCAAGAGGUCGGCAGUUCGAAUCUGCCCGUCCCGA